RNAcentral lists this unclassified non-coding RNA (327 nucleotides) under soil metagenome. RNAcentral's name for it is "partial contains 5.8S ribosomal RNA, internal transcribed spacer 2, and large subunit ribosomal RNA". The stretch from base 1 to 120 matches the Rfam family "5.8S ribosomal RNA", at positions 35 to 154 of the family's 154-position model. The record is from RNAcentral.
GAUGAAGAACGUAGUGAAAUGCGAUAAGUAAUGUGAAUUGCAGAAUUCAGUGAAUCAUCGAAUCUUUGAACGCACAUUGCGCCCCUUGGUAUUCCGGGGGGCAUGCCUGUUCGAGCGUCAUUUCAACCCUCAAGCUCAGCUUGGUAUUGAGUCCAUGUCAGUAAUGGCAGGCUCUAAAAUCAGUGGCGGCGCCGCUGGGUCCUGAACGUAGUAAUAUCUCUCGUUACAGGUUCUCGGUGUGCUUCUGCCAAAACCCAAAUUUUCUAUGGUUGACCUCGGAUCAGGUAGGGAUACGCGCUGAACUUAAGCAUAUCAAUAAGCGGAGGA